RNAcentral lists this small RNA (125 nucleotides) under Marmota monax (woodchuck). The record is from RNAcentral. Lineage: Eukaryota; Metazoa; Chordata; Mammalia; Rodentia; Sciuridae.
GCUGGGUGCAGUGGCGCACACCUGUAAUCCCAGCAGCUCAGGAGCCUGAGACAGGAGGAUCCUGAGUUCAAAGCCAGCUUCAGCAAAAGCAAGGAGCUAAGCAACUCAGUGAGACCCUGUCUCUA